This 279-nucleotide ribosomal RNA is filed under the name uncultured Allobrachymonas sp. RNAcentral's name for it is "uncultured Brachymonas sp. partial 16S ribosomal RNA". It matches the Rfam family "Bacterial small subunit ribosomal RNA", at positions 1097 to 1382 of the family's 1533-position model. The record is from RNAcentral. Lineage: Bacteria; Pseudomonadati; Pseudomonadota; Betaproteobacteria; Burkholderiales; Comamonadaceae.
CGCAACCCUUGCCAUUAGUUGCUACGAAAGGGCACUCUAAUGGGACUGCCGGUGACAAACCGGAGGAAGGUGGGGAUGACGUCAAGUCCUCAUGGCCCUUAUAGGUGGGGCUACACACGUCAUACAAUGGCCGGUACAGAGGGUAGCCAACCCGCGAGGGGGAGCCAAUCCCACAAAGCCGGUCGUAGUCCGGAUCGCAGUCUGCAACUCGACUGCGUGAAGUCGGAAUCGCUAGUAAUCGCGGAUCAGCAUGUCGCGGUGAAUACGUUCCCGGGUCUU